AUAUAACAGAGAUGAUGUUCAAAAAAGGAGAUUUCCUGUUCACUCAACAAAAAUUCAUGUCCAGAAUUAUUAAGUGGAAUUUCUAUCGAUCCAUCAGAAAAUUUUUCUCUCUGUAUAGACUAGGAAAAAAAUUCUGAUGUUGCAUCUUGGCAUCAUACACAAGGCCCUGAAAGCAACUUUGCUAAAACUAGGAUUUGCAAUGAGGAUAAGAAGAAAUUUAAAUGUUGUCAAUUACUGAUUUUCAAGGUACUGCUUGAUUGUCUGUUUAAUUGUGCUUGAUUGUGCUGAUUUUCAGCUGUGUUGUACUUGCUAGUAUCUUGUGAUUUUCAAGGUUAGCAACUCUUUUGAAAUUCCUUGCAAUUUCCUCAAAGAAAUCCUGAAUAAAUUAUAAUCAUAAAUAUAAUUCUCAAAGAAGCUCAAUAAAUCCUAAUCAUCAUAACUUUAAAUUAUGAUAAAAAUUUUCAGUUUUGUCUGCUUUUAUCUUCCCAACUUUUUGUCAUGAUCAAAUAUUUCGUGUAAUCUAACGAAGCUUUAAUUGAUUGCAGAGGUGACGUAAUUGUGACAGACUUGCCUGAAAUUUUGCCACUGCUUGAAAAAAACAUCUUAGCUAAUUCUCAACAAAUUGAAGGAACCGGUGGAAAAAUAAGUGCUCAAACUCUGCGCUGGGGUGAUGCUGAGAGUAUUAAGUUACUUCCGAAACCUGACAUCAUCCUAAUGGCAGACGUCAUUUACUAUAAAGAGUCAGUGGAGGCUCUGGUAUCAACCUUGUUACUGCUCUCGGAUAAAAUACGACACUGAUACUGUGUCAUGAAAAAAGACAAUCCGAGAAGCAGAAAGAAAUUUUUGAUGCAUUUUAUAAACGCGCAAAGGAACAUUUCAAAUUCUCAGCAGUGCCUCCCAGCGAACAGCAUCCUGACUACUGUUGUCAAGAUUUUUAUUUAUUGAAAGUUAAUUUAUUACCAAUCUAGAAGAUUACCUUUUGUAAGUUCUAUUUUAGGACCUCGUCAGUAGCGCCAAUGCGACUGACAGUCCUUUAUCAAACUAUUUUUUUUUUUUAUGAUAGUAUACUUGGUCCCCGCUCUUGAUCCUUGUUAGGUCAUCAGGUCAAAAUUUCUUCCUCUCUUAUCAUUAUUUGGUACUUUUUUCAUCAAGAAUUAAGAGAAUAAAUUCGGUAGCUUUUAGCAUAAAGAAAUCAAGUUAUGGACUCUUAAAAAUUGAAAUGAGGAUUAUUCUAAACUUAUUUAAGGGAAAUUUUUUCUCUUGCUCAAAAUCAGAACCCAGAAAGAAUAUUUGAGAUGAUUUAAAGUUUAUUUCAUACAUUGGGCAUUCAAAUCUAUUCUGUCUAUCUAUCACCGUCAAAUAGUCGAGUUCACUUGGUUUUCCUUUGCUAAACAGUGCCCAAUAAUUUUAGGUGCCUUUUCUUGGUGUAAUCCGCAUCCAACUUGCAGUGCUUUUGUGUGGAUAGCCAUCUUUUGAAAAGGAAGAAAAGGGUCUUAAUACCUCAAAUUUCUCUAGAGAAAAGAGGUGCUCUUUUUUUCUUCAGUUGCAAGUCCCCUUUCUUGCUGACAGUAUUAAGUUUUUACUUUACUUUAUUUGCAUGAUAGAAAAAUAAAUUUUUUUUUUUUUUUUGUUUCAAACAUUAACUUCCCACUUGGCAUGAAGAGUAAAACUUUUUGUUUGCUCAUACUAAUAUGUAAUAAAUAUUUAAUAUGAAUCCCUGUUUUCUUUUUUUAAUGAAUUUGUCAUUGUAUUCACUGUUUACUAUUUCAGAAUCAAUUUAGACUAAUUUUUUAAUCAUAUUGUUUUUUACUAAAUCUACAUUUUUGUGUGUGUGUUUGGUACCUGAUUUUUAAUUUAUUUUUUUACAACAGUUUUUAUCAUCUUUUUUUUAUUGUGAUUUUAUUACAGUCUAAAUGCAAUUAAAGAAAGGUUUUUAGUUAUUUCUACCUGCGGUCUUUUUAACUCCUUUAAAGCUUUUAUCAAUACGCUUCAUGCAUUUUGUAAAACUUAUUUUCCCCAUGCUCACCAAAGUAAUUUUUUGUGAAUAAUGGUCUAUUUCUCUGCUGAACUUAAUAAUAAGCCUUUACCAACCAAAAUAUAUAACGAAUAUAUAACCAAACCAAAAAUUGUUCUUCUAACUUAAGUCAUUAAAGGAAGUUACAGAUAUUUUUACCUAAAAUGUAUCACAAUUGCUACUGCAUCUGCAAUCAGAAUGCCUUCAUUUAUUUGCUUAUGCAACUUCGACAUCCAUCGAGUAGUAAUAGUUGCAUCUCUCCAGGCGCUGUUACGUCGGUCUGCUGUUGUUGAUCAAGUUCUAUUCCCACUCUCUGUAAAAUAAAGGUGGGCAUCAUAUUUUUCUUUCUUUCUUUCUUUCUUUCUUUCCUUCUUUCUUUAAACUUAUAUUACUACUACUACUACUUUCUUUCUUUUUUCUUUCUUUACUACUACUUUCUUUCUUUCUUUCUUAGAGGUGUAAAUGGCCUGAGCUGCUAUAGCACCGCUUGAAAAUAAACUUAUAUUACUACUACUACUACUUUCUUUCUUAUUGUAAACACACAGAGGUGUAAAUGGCCUUAGAUGCUAAAGUACUGCUUUAUAAUAAACUUAUUUUACU
RNAcentral lists this long non-coding RNA (2614 nucleotides) under Bemisia tabaci. RNAcentral describes it as "lncRNA ENSSSA1NGG006511". Lineage: Eukaryota; Metazoa; Arthropoda; Insecta; Hemiptera; Aleyrodidae. The record is from RNAcentral.